This 239-nucleotide ribosomal RNA is filed under the name uncultured Lactobacillus sp. RNAcentral's name for it is "partial 16S ribosomal RNA". It matches the Rfam family "Bacterial small subunit ribosomal RNA", at positions 123 to 356 of the family's 1533-position model. Lineage: Bacteria; Bacillati; Bacillota; Bacilli; Lactobacillales; Lactobacillaceae. The record is from RNAcentral.
AACCUGCCCAAGAGAUCGGGAUAACACCUGGAAACAGAUGCUAAUACCGGAUAACAACAGAUGAUGCCUAUCAACUGUUUAAAAGAUGGUUCUGCUAUCACUCUUGGAUGGACCUGCGGUGCAUUAGCUAGUUGGUAGGGUAACGGCCUACCAAGGCGAUGAUGCAUAGCCGAGUUGAGAGACUGAUCGGCCACAUUGGGACUGAGACACGGCCCAAACUACUACGGGAGGCAGCAGCG